This 700-nucleotide ribosomal RNA is filed under the name uncultured beta proteobacterium. Its description in RNAcentral is "bacterial SSU rRNA". It matches the Rfam family "Bacterial small subunit ribosomal RNA", at positions 79 to 775 of the family's 1533-position model. The record is from RNAcentral. Lineage: Bacteria; Pseudomonadati; Pseudomonadota; Betaproteobacteria.
CUUGCACCUGGUGGCGAGUGGCGAACGGGUGAGUAAUACAUCGGAACGUACCUUAUCGUGGGGGAUAACGCAGCGAAAGCUGUGCUAAUACCGCAUACGCCCUGAGGGGGAAAGCGGGGGAUCGAAAGACCUCGCGCGAUUAGAGCGGCCGAUGCCUGAUUAGCUUGUUGGUGGGGUAAAAGCCCACCAAGGCGACGAUCAGUAGCUAGUCUGAGAGGACGAUCAGCCACACUGGGACUGAGACACGGCCCAGACUCCUACGGGAGGCAGCAGUGGGGAAUUUUGGGCAAUGGGGGAAACCCUGAUCCAGCAAUGCCGCGUGAGUGAAGAAGGCCUUCGGGUUGUAAAGCUCUUUUGUCAGGGAAGAAACACCGGCUCUAACACAGUCCGGGAAUGACGGUACCUGAAGAAUAAGCACCGGCUAACUACGUGCCAGCAGCCGCGGUAAUACGUAGGGUGCGAGCGUUAAUCGGAAUUACUGGGCGUAAAGCGUGCGCAGGCGGUUAUACAAGACAGGCGUGAAAUCCCCGGGCUUAACCUGGGAAUGGCGCCUGUGACUGUAUAGCUAGAGUGUGUCAGAGGGGGGUAGAAUUCCACGUGUAGCAGUGAAAUGCGUAGAUAUGUGGAGGAAUACCAAUGGCGAAGGCAGCCCCCUGGGAUAACACUGACGCUCAUGCACGAAAGCGUGGGGAGCAAACAG